RNAcentral lists this ribosomal RNA (465 nucleotides) under Vreelandella stevensii. RNAcentral describes it as "partial 16S ribosomal RNA". It matches the Rfam family "Bacterial small subunit ribosomal RNA", at positions 338 to 795 of the family's 1533-position model. The record is from RNAcentral. Lineage: Bacteria; Pseudomonadati; Pseudomonadota; Gammaproteobacteria; Oceanospirillales; Halomonadaceae.
CCUACGGGAGGCAGCAGUGGGGAAUAUUGGACAAUGGGGGGAACCCUGAUCCAGCCAUGCCGCGUGUGUGAAGAAGGCCCUCGGGUUGUAAAGCACUUUCAGUGAGGAAGAACGCCUGGUGGUUAAUACCCAUCAGGAAAGACAUCACUCACAGAAGAAGCACCGGCUAACUCCGUGCCAGCAGCCGCGGUAAUACGGAGGGUGCGAGCGUUAAUCGGAAUUACUGGGCGUAAAGCGCGCGUAGGUGGCUUGAUAAGCCGGUUGUGAAAGCCCCGGGCUCAACCUGGGAACGGCAUCCGGAACUGUCAAGCUAGAGUGCAGGAGAGGAAGGUAGAAUUCCCGGUGUAGCGGUGGAAUGCGUAGAGAUCGGGAGGAAUACCAGUGGCGAAGGCGGCCUUCUGGACUGACACUGACACUGAGGUGCGAAAGCGUGGGUAGCAAACAGGAUUAGAUACCCGGGUAGUC